This 168-nucleotide ribosomal RNA is filed under the name Mastigamoeba balamuthi. Its description in RNAcentral is "5.8S rRNA". It matches the Rfam family "5.8S ribosomal RNA". Rfam says of the family: 5.8S ribosomal RNA (5.8S rRNA) is a component of the large subunit of the eukaryotic ribosome. It is transcribed by RNA polymerase I as part of the 45S precursor that also contains 18S and 28S rRNA. The record is from RNAcentral. Lineage: Eukaryota; Evosea; Mastigamoebida; Mastigamoebidae.
CGACUUCCAACAAUGGAUAUCUCGGCUCCCACUUCGAUGAAGAACGCAGCGAAAUGCGAAACGUAAUGCGAAUCGCAGAUAGCCGUGAGUCAUCGAAUCUUUGAAUGCAUCCUGGACCUCGGGAAACUCUUCGGAGUAACCCCAGGUACACUCGGAUGAGUGUGUGUU